GUAUGACUUAUAAAAGGAACAUAUUACAACAGAGUGAUCCUAACCUACUUCUGUGUCCAUCUCGUUACUGCAAGGGUUAAGAUCAUUCUCUCGGUACCGAAAGGGGUCAUCGAACCAAGGAAAACACCCACCCUUUUAUACCAGGAGAUGUUGUAGUUAUAAAACAAUUGGCCAAAGAUAAAAGAGACAAAGACUUCGCUUAUGGUCCAGAGACGAAUGUGGUAGCCGUUACCCGGACCGCAAUACUGACGGAAGAGAGCCCAACAUGGAUCCAUGCCACCCGAGUAAAACUGGUGCCUAGAGCCAGACAAAGAGAGGUACUAACGGGGGCAGACAGCCCUGGCCUCCGACUAGAAGCAAGUACAAGUGAGGUAGCAACGAGGGCGGACAGCCCUGACCUCCGACAAGAUGACGUCGCUUAUUUCACCACAGACUUCUGGGAAAGCCUUGUGCCUCCUAUUUUGGACUGUCCUAAUCGUAUUCCUGCCAGUUUGGCUGAUAACUAACUGUAUCUAUCACCCUGAAGAUUUGGGACAUACAGCAUUUGUGGAAAUUCCAAACACUCCACAACAGGACAAUAUCAAUAACACACAUGAUAGACACAAGAGAAAUGAGAACUCAGAGGGUUUUACAGACAAAAUGCUAUUAUUAAAGUUUAAAUAUGCCUAUGCCCAGAAAUCUGGAUAUGAAAAAUGUUGGAUAUGUAGUAAACUCCAUCCUAGCACUACUAGGAUUCCCCUAAUGGCAGUACCUCUAAAUUUCACCCCCUCCUUAAUAACACACCUCCUCUCGUUCUUACAAAUAUUGCGAGUAUACUUUCAAAUGAUACCCUACUUUUCAAAUCAUGAGUAGAAGUUAUUUCCCAGACUAGUGUUUUAGGUUAGGGGUCUCCACAAAAGGGGCUGAAGUUUGCCAACAAGCUAAAAUUAAUUUUUCAAUUACUUCAAUUGAAAGCCCUUAUUUUCACACUUCAAAACCUGCCCUAAACACCACACUUUCUUAACUCCAGCUCCCCCACCGCGACCUCCCCAGUGGGACAGUUAUUGAGGAGUUUAACCCUUUCUAGUUUUUCUGACGAAAUGAUGGCAGUAUUCAACAGGUGACCCCUAGCUUUAGGGAACAAUAUUUAUAUCUGUUGUGGGAAAACAUGCCAUCCAUGGAUUCCCAUAGAUCCCCAGGGAUGGUGUUACCUUGCAUCACUAAUCCCUAUAAUGGGUGUGUUAGGGGAUGAUAAGGGAAGACACAUAUUAGAGGCCAGCAUGCACCCCAGAUAUCCCCUUAAGUAUCGUGGAAAACUGGAUUUGUUCCAGGAGAAAGAUAUGGCUUGGGCAUGGUUUCCCUCAUGGAGUGGGUGGGGGAUAGACUAAUGAAGAGGUUGAAUAAAUACACUGGAAUUAUUGAUGAAAUAAUGGAAAAGAACUCUGAUGAUAUUACUAAAUUAAAUAUAGAAACUAGAGCAAUUAGGAAGCAAUUAGAGUUACACAAGUUAGCCAUAGAAAGCAUGAGUGCCGCCUUAACUGGAUUAUGUGAAAAUACUGAAGAUUAUGAGUGUUGUACCUGGUUUCAUAACACAAGUAUUGAGGUACCAGAUUAUUAUGAUGUAAUUGCACAACACCGAAAGGAAGUAAACAAAUUACAAGAUGAAGCUAGGAAUAUUGCCAAAACCUGGGAUCCUUUUGCAAACUUAAGUUUUGGAGCAGGAAUGCUGACAUGGUUAAAGAGUGCGGCCCUGGCCAUCUUUAUGAUUAUUCUUUUUGUUUUACUCUUAUAUGCUUGCUAUAGACUUAUAAUGUGCAUAGUUGUUAAAAUUUCCCCGAACAUCCGACCCAGCAGCUGCGAAUAGAAUUUAUCUGAAUAUGUAUCAUGAUAAAAGAAUGAUGGAGGAGAACCACAUAAUUUAGAAUUAUUUGGGUUCUAAUAGGGGAUUAGAGGGAUGUCAAGGGUUAAUAACAGUAACACAUUGAUUGCAUAAAUGUUGCUGUGUAUGUAAGAUUGUCAUGUGUAGGUCUUGUGAUGUCUAUAUAUAGUAAUGGCCAGUUUCAAGCGGAUGACACCCAUCACCAGUCUUAGAUCACAGGUGUUUAAGUUAAGCAACAAGUAACGGCAGCUUUGUAUUAUCCAAUUAUAUUCUAGCAGCAACGCCCGAAGGGGCGCCCGCCCAGUAACAGUGUAUUAGUCAAUGAUACUAAGACAAGUAUUUCCUUUGUAUUUCUAUAUGUUUUUGUAUGACUUAUAAAAGGAACUGUUCGCGCCAUAUUACAACAGAGUGAUCCUAACCUACUUCUGUGUCCAUCUCGUUACUGCAAGGGUUAAGAUCAUUCUCUCGGUACCGAAAGGGGUCAUCGAACCAAGG
Molecule: long non-coding RNA, 2353 nt
Organism: Rana temporaria (common frog)
Lineage: Eukaryota; Metazoa; Chordata; Amphibia; Anura; Ranidae
Exons: 2
Source: RefSeq, a predicted model, not a curated record